Oryctolagus cuniculus (rabbit) is the source of this 4432-nucleotide long non-coding RNA. RefSeq lists it as uncharacterized. Lineage: Eukaryota; Metazoa; Chordata; Mammalia; Lagomorpha; Leporidae. The record is from RefSeq and is a predicted model, not a curated record.
UGCAGUUGCUGCGUCAUUCGUGACAGCUUGUUUUCCCUAUUCCUUCCUCAUUCGUGAACCUGAAUUCUACAGAAAGAAACCGUUCCUCCUCUGCCCUUCAAUUACGUGUUUACGCAGCACUGUGGUCCAGCCCCCACCGUCUGCCAGAGGCGCCAGUCCCCAGAUGGCAGACAGCUUGCUCGUGAGGUCAUGGCUCCUGACAGCGUCGGAGCUCACCGGUGUUCCCGGCAGGACGAGCAGCGCGUGCCUUGCGGUGCCCCCUCGGCGGCUCUUUCCCACGUAGCAAGAAGAGUUCUGGUGUGUGGCCAGGCAAGGAGCCGGUGGCUCUGCAGCAAUUCCGGCUUCUGCCAGCCCGGGGAGCCUGAAACCAGGAAUCAAACCUCUGUCCUCAUUUUUCUAAAAAUAGUUCUUCAGGAAGCAGGAUCCAGAGGAGCACAGUGACUCCAAGAGCUGAGGCACCGGGAGAACCAGGAGCCAGGGCACGGUCACAGGGCAUCGCAUCAGCUGGCUCCUCGCUGCCUGGCACUUGACAUGCAGCACUGGCAUGAAGUCUCGAGACGUCUUUGGCAGGUGCACGGCAAAUUUACAGACAGCUGAGGGCCAGGGAUUGAACUGCUCACGAGGGCAUUAGGGGACUGCUGACUCUGAACCACAGUGUGAGAGGCCUUAGGGCUCCUGCUAAAAAUGCGUCACUCAAAGCAUCUAGAAGCAAGUAUGAAAAAGUGAGAAGCGUGCAUUGUCGUUCUGAUCACAGGUAAAACACCCAAACCAAUUGCGCUUCUGAGAAACAUAGCCCCAGUGCUGCCAGGUUCUCCGACUGUGAGACAUGAAAACGAGGGGCUUCACAAAGAUUCAUCAGCUCAGGUGCCAUCAGGUGUCGCAAAUAGUCCGUGAACUUUACAAGGAAGAGGCAGUGGCUUCGGGAGCUUGGAAGGCGGCCCAGUCAGUCCCGCUCCCUGAUUCGCUCUGAGAGACGAGAACUAGGAAGCCAGUGAGUCUCGUCCUCACCUUUAGGAGUCAGUUGUGAAAACUGCAGAGCUUAGAGACGGAGCUCGCUGAGUUCCAGCUCCAGCCCGGCCCACUGCGAGGUGCACCUCCUCAGCCCAGCAUUUGCCUCUCUGGCUCCGUCUCUCAUCUGUAGAAGAACAAGAACACAGCCUCACUCAGCUCUCCUUAAGUCAGCACCUGCUACGUGCCACGUUAUGGGCCAGGCCCCAGAGGGAUAUGGUGGAUCCUCUUCUCUCCCUGGGUUUGCAAUUUUUGAACUUUUAUUCUGUGAAUGGGAACCCUCAAUAAGGGCUGUGGCUGUGGCAUAGGAGGCUACGCCUCUGUCUGUGGUGCCGGCAUCCCAUAUGGGUACUGGUCUGAGUCUCAGCUGCUCCUCUUCUGGUCCAGCUCUCUGCUAUGGCUUGGAAAGCAGGGGAGGAUGGCCUAAAUGCCUGGGCCCUACACCUGUGUUGGAGACCAGGAAGAAGCCCGUGGCUCCUGGCUUCGGAUCAGCCCAGCUCUAGCCGUUGUGGUCAUUUAGGGAGUGAACCAGCGGAUGGAAGACCUCUCUGUCUCUCCCUCCCUCUGUCUAUAACUAUCUCUCAAAUAAAUACAUAAAUGUAAAAAAAAACCUCAAAUACAUAAUUUCUGUCUGGGCUGCACAUCCCACCGUGGACGUUCUUUCAGGUGGUGGUGGUGGUGGCCUCCUCAUGGGCCCGCAUCUUUUUUUUCUUUUCUUUUUUGAGCAUGUUCCGCUCUUGUUUCCACAGAGCAGAGGAAGACAGAGUCGAAGGGGCAGUCCCAGCAGGAGAAGCGCCGUGCCUGAGAGACUGGCUGGAGCCCAGAUGUGUGGAGGAGAGGGGGCAGGCCAGUGGGGUCGGGCUGGGAAGGGCAGGGGUGGGCACGGUGCCUUUGAGGACCCGGAAGAAGGAAGCAGGCUGUGCCCUGGUGCGGCGGGCCACUGAGGGAGGCUCAGCGGGGCAGAUGCUGCGAGGGGCCGGGAGCCAGCGGGGGAGCUCAGGCACGGUUUAGGGGAACUGGAGCCGUGAAGGGCGAUCAACAGGCGUGAUCCUGGGUGCAGUGAGAUAGCACCUCCUGCAGUGCGGGCCACAUGGGAGGUCGCGGUGAGGGGUCCUGCCGUGCUGUUACUGCUCUGGCGCUGCUUCUGCUGGCGUGUCUACUGCUGCUGCUGCUGCGGCUGCCACUGCUGUUGCCUCUGCUACCCAACUACUGCUGUGACCGCACUGCUGCCUGUGCCACUAGUGCUGCUACGGCUCCUGCAGCUCGUGUGGGGCUGUGCUGUGGCGCAGCAGGUUAACCCACUGCUUGUGCACCAGUUUCCUGCAUCGGAGUGCCAGUUCGAAUCCCAGCUACCUUGCAUCUGAUCCAGCUUCCCUCUGACUCACCUGGGAAGGCAGCAGAAGAUGACUGGAGUGCUUGGGCUCCUGCCACCUGUGUGGGAGACUAGGUUGGGGUUCCUGGCUCCUGGCUUUGGCCUGGCCCAACCUUGGUUGUUGCAACCACUUGGCGAAUGAUCCAGUGGAUAGCAGAUCUCUCUUUCUGCAUCUCUCCCUUGUUCUCUGUUGCUUUGCUUUUCAAAUAACUAAACAAAUCUUUAAAACAGUAAGACUGGGGCUGGCACUGUGGCUCAGUAGGUUAAUCCUCCGCCUGUGGCACCAGCAUCCCCUAUAGGCCCCGCUUCUAGUCCUGGCUACUCCUCUUCUGAUCCAGCUCUCUGCUGUGGCCUGGGAAAGCAGUAGAAGAUGGCCCAAGUCCUUGGGCCCCUGCACCCAUGUGGGAGACCCGGAGAAAGCUCCUGGCUCCUGGCUUCGGAUCGGCGCAGCUCCAACCAUUGCAGCCAAUUAGGGAGUGAACCAGUGGAUGGAACACCUAUCUCUCUGUCUCUCCCUCUCACUGUCUGUAACUCUAUCACUCAAAUAAAUAAAUAAAAUCUUUGAAAAGAAAACAGUAAGACUAGCGUUCCUACUACUGCCUUUAUAUCCUUACAAUUAACCCUUCUCAGGAAGCGUUAAGGUUUUGUUAGUGAGCUCUGGUACAUCUGAAGACCCCAAGCUGGACCCCAGCCACUCUGUCCCCUCUGUUGGCUCUUGGGGAAGUCACCCCGACUCAGCAGGUGCUGUGGGGAGUGGGGAGGCUGUUGGAGGCCCUCACAGCUGGUAGGAAGCCCUGGUUGGGAGCAAGCAGGCUCCGGCUGCAGCUGCAGGCGGCCAGCACCCAUGGGUGUUAUUUCCUGCUCCCAUGGCUGUGCACAAUUCAUGAAAAGCUGAUUUCCACCCAAAGGUUUGUUUGUUCCAUGGCAGGUCCCGGAUACCCACCUGGUGCCAAGCACUGCUGUGGGUGCAACAGGAUAAGACAUCUCCGAGCCCUCUCACUGCUCAUGUCGUCAGCAGAGUACCAGAGAAGGCGCCGCGGGAAGCUAUCAGAGCACCUGUGUCUACCUGUUAGAACCUGCAGUGUUGGGAGAUCCCGGCUGUGAAUCAGUGUGGCCAUGGAAGUGAUGAUGUGGGCUGAACCCUGUGGACGGGAAACGUCAGUGUGGCAGUGGGGAGCAAGCCCAGCCUGGUAAGACAGAACAGUGCACCUGGCUAGGCAGGCGUCUGCAGGCCAGUCAGCAGGGAGCAGAGGGCGGGCCUCAUCCCUGCUGUGGAAGGGGGCGGGGACAAGUUUUGCUUCCUUCUCUCUAUUCCAUAUACAUACAGAUCAUUCCAGCAGUGAGCGCUUAGCAUUUGUGUUUGCAGGGAAAAGAGUGCUAAUUUUAUUCAAGGAGACAAGAGUGGAGGAGGGAGGGCUGGGGAGCGGUCAGGCUUGUGGCCUGACUCGGGCCUGUGCUGGCCUGGCAGGUCCCAGGCUCACUGCUCCCUGUGGGAAGGGAAACUGAUGCGCAGAGCUACCCGCCGUUUAAGGGCAACGCCUCCUGUGUGCUGCUGCUGUCUCUGGUGUUUGGGUUCAGAGAAAACUUGGGACACAUCCAGGCUCCCUGGCUUAGCAGCUGUGUGCCUCUGAGCAAUUCUGUAAACUUUCUGAACGGGCGCCUCCCCCACCGUGAUGUAGACGUACUCCCGGUCUGGCAGACAGAGCGGGCACAGGGGCCUGCCGGCGUUCUGAGGAAGGCAUGGGUGCUGUGUGUGUUGUUUCUGUAUACACAGCACAGUGUGUCUGUGUGCUGUGUGUGCACAUGAGUCUGUGUGGGUUCUAUGUAUAUACACUGUAUGUGUGUGCUGUGUGUACACAGUGAGUCUGUGUGCUGUGUGUGCACAGUGUGUCUGUGUGGGUUCUAUGUAUAUACACUGUGUGUGUGCUGUGUGUACACAGUGUGUCUGUGUGCUGUGUGUGCACAGUGAGUCUGUGUGGGUUCUGUGUAUAUACACUGUGUGUGUGCUGUGUGUACACAGUGUGUCUGUGUGCUGUGUGUACACAGUGUGUC